UACAGAGGUCCCAAGCGUUGUUCGGAUUCACUGGGCGUAAAGGGUGCGUAGGUGGUGAGGUAAGUCGGAUGUGAAAUCUCCGAGCUCAACUCGGAAAUGGCAUUGGAAACUACCUUGCUCGAGGGUUGGAGGGGGGACUGGAAUGCUUGGUGUAGCAGUGAAAUGCGUAGAUAUCAAGCGAAACACCAGUGGCGAAGGCGAGUCCCUGGACAACUCCUGACACUGAGGCACGAAAGCUAGGGGAGCAAACAGG
This 253-nucleotide ribosomal RNA is filed under the name uncultured bacterium. Its description in RNAcentral is "partial 16S ribosomal RNA". It matches the Rfam family "Bacterial small subunit ribosomal RNA", at positions 524 to 776 of the family's 1533-position model. The record is from RNAcentral.